Hemiscyllium ocellatum (epaulette shark) is the source of this 1265-nucleotide long non-coding RNA. RefSeq lists it as uncharacterized. Lineage: Eukaryota; Metazoa; Chordata; Chondrichthyes; Orectolobiformes; Hemiscylliidae. The transcript is spliced from 3 exons. The record is from RefSeq and is a predicted model, not a curated record.
CCCCUCUCCGUGAGUCCAGCUCCAUAUUCACAACUUUUCGCCGGCGGAACAAAAAACGAAAAAAAAAGGGGACGAACAUCCACCGGCACGGCUUGCUUCGGGGAUUUUGUAGGAGGAAAAAAAGGCGUUAAAACAUCAGAAAACAAAACUCCAAACCGUCGGGACCCCUCGGUCUUCACACCUUCCGCCGCCAUCGCCCCCGGUUAAUAUUCUUUAUGUUUUACCUGAUUUUUAAACUCCAGCGUCACUAGCUACCCUCUCCCCUGCCGCCGAAUUCUUCAAGGAGGAGGAGAAGAAGAAGGUUUUAAUCGCAAAGAUUUAUUCCGAAUCGCCUCAGCCACUCGCUCGCGCUCUCUGUCUGCGUCUCGCGACGACUGGCGCCCGGACCGGAAGUCAGCUCAGUGAUGGACGUGAGCCCUUGACCAAUUGGAAGGAAGAGGGCGGGCUCUCUAACCCCAGGACAGCUGACAACAACUACCUGCAUUGCCAUAGCGCCUGAUGGGAGACUUCAAGAUCGAGGGCACAUUUUGAAGAUGAAAGAAGAGAUUUAAAGCAGGCAUGAGGGUCAAAUCUUUUACAAGAGGUUGUUUCACAUGUGGGAACGAACCUCCAGAGGAAGUGAUGGGAUGGCUGUGAGGAAAAAAAACAGCGACACACAUGAGAAUUCCUAGAAGCAAAGCAUUCCAACCAGAACUCUAUCAACAAACACAUUGACUUGGACCCCAUUUACCAUCCUCUAAGGAAAUGACAUCACCACAGGAAAUGGCAUCACCAACCCAAGGAAACUUAACCACAUAAAUAGAAAGUGGGUCACUAACACCAGUGCUUCAUCAGAGGUUCAUUGAUAAUGUUACCUAGUAUGGUGAUGAACCAUCUGAAAACGAACCUUCCAGCUCAGCGAGCAAACUUAGAACCUCAACCUGAGCUACAAAUAAUCUCAAAACUCACUAGUUAAUCAUUUUAAUUGUGCCAUUAUAUCUGAAUAAAAGUAAGAUAUAUUAGCUACAUACAUUUAAUUCUUUAACAAAUUUGUUAAUGUUUCUGAGGUUCAUAACAUGCAAGAGUAAAUGGGAGGGAAAUGGAAGAAUUUAGCAAAAAAGUACAAGAGGCUUACAUAUUCAGAAUUUAAUAACUGUUUCAUUUUAAGUGUGUCAUUAUACCAGGUCAUGACGAUGCUGAACAGUAUGAUUUUGCAGGAUUUCAAUGAAUCUUUGACAUGUUAAAUUUUUGUACCGAUAUGUAUAAAUAAAAUUUCCUACCAGUAA